AGCUCUGUAAGCGUAUACCAAAGUUGUUGCAGUUAAAACGCUCGUAGUCGGACUUUGGUGGUUCCGGAAGUGCGCCGCGUCGUGCGGACGCUUCGCGGGGACUGCUUUUGUGGGUUUCAGCGUGGGAUGAGGGCUGUUCAAUCGGUAACGUCCUAACGCGACCACAUUUUACUGUGAGAAAAUCAGAGUGCUCAAAGCAGGCAUUUGCCUGAAUGGAUUAGCAUGGAAUAAUGGAAUAGGACUCUGUCUUAUUUUGUUGGUUUGUUAAGGCUGAGUAAUGAUUAAGAGGGACAGUUGGGGGCAUUUGUAUUUCGGCGCUAGAGGUGAAAUUCUUAGAUUGCCGAAAGACAAACUGCUGCGAAAGCGUCUGCCAAGGAUGUUUUCAUUGAUCAAGAACGAA
Molecule: ribosomal RNA, 400 nt
Filed under: phytoplankton environmental sample
Lineage: Eukaryota
Description: partial small subunit ribosomal RNA
Rfam family: Eukaryotic small subunit ribosomal RNA
Source: RNAcentral